RNAcentral lists this ribosomal RNA (437 nucleotides) under Staphylococcus aureus. RNAcentral's name for it is "partial 23S ribosomal RNA". It matches the Rfam family "Bacterial large subunit ribosomal RNA", at positions 1045 to 1485 of the family's 2925-position model. The record is from RNAcentral. Lineage: Bacteria; Bacillati; Bacillota; Bacilli; Caryophanales; Staphylococcaceae.
UCCCAAAAUAUAUGUUAAGUGGAAAAGGAUGUGGCGUUGCCCAGACAACUAGGAUGUUGGCUUAGAAGCAGCCAUCAUUUAAAGAGUGCGUAAUAGCUCACUAGUCGAGUGACACUGCGCCGAAAAUGUACCGGGGCUAAACAUAUUACCGAAGCUGUGGAUUGUCCUUUGGACAAUGGUAGGAGAGCGUUCUAAGGGCGUUGAAGCAUGAUCGUAAGAACAUGUGGAGCGCUUAGAAGUGAGAAUGCCGGUGUGAGUAGCGAAAGACGGGUGAGAAUCCCGUCCACCGAUUGACUAAGGUUUCCAGAGGAAGGCUCGUCCGCUCUGGGUUAGUCGGGUCCUAAGCUGAGGCCGACAGGCGUAGGCGAUGGAUAACAGGUUGAUAUUCCUGUACCACCUAUAAUCGUUUUAAUCGAUGGGGGGACGCAGUAGGAUAG